GAUGAACGCUGGCGGCGUGCCUAACACAUGCAAGUCGAGCGAACAGACGAUGAGCUUGCUCCUCUGACGUUAGCGGCGGACGGGUGAGUAACACGUGGAUAACCUACCUAUAAGACUGGGAUAACUUCGGGAAACCGGAGCUAAUACCGGAGAAUAUAUUGAACCGCAGGGUUCAAUAGUGAAAGACGGUGGUGCGGUCACGUAUAGAUGGAUCCGCGCCGCAUUAGCUAGUUGGGAAGGUAACGGGCUACCAAGGCAAGGAGGCGUAGCCGACGUGAGAGGGUGGUAGGCGACCCUGGAGCUGAGCCGCGGUCAAGACUCCUACGGGAGGCAGCAGUAGGGAAUCUUCCGCAAUAGGCGAGAGCCUGACGGAGCAGCGCGGCGUGAGUGAUGAAGGUCUUCGGAGCGUAAAGCUCUGUUAUUAGGGAAGAACAAAUGUGUCAGUAACUAUGCACGUAUUGACGGUACCUAAUCAGAAAGCCCCGGCUAACUACGUG
This 497-nucleotide ribosomal RNA is filed under the name uncultured bacterium. Its description in RNAcentral is "partial 16S ribosomal RNA". It matches the Rfam family "Bacterial small subunit ribosomal RNA", at positions 28 to 507 of the family's 1533-position model. The record is from RNAcentral.